CAACACGGCUCGUUUUAUGGCAACGUAGCUAAACAGCAGGUAGUCACGAAUGUGUCAGGACUCCUCCUAGUAGAGCGAUAUGCAUUAAAAAUAACAAAGUUUUUGUGUUACAUGUCAUUUACUCAUAAAGGACCGCCGGAGCUUAGCAUAAAGGCCGGCAAUAAUCUAUAAGUCGAGGAAGCUAACAAGCUAGCAGUGGUAAUAGCACUUUGGGUUUACUGUUGUUAAAUAACUCCGCAGCUGGAUGAGCUUGCUAGGAUGAAUGGGAAAGCUAAGAAGCUAACGAUGGUCAUUGUGUUAUAGGUUGGAUUUGUGCUGUCUUUUUGGAGAUAAACUUUUAUAAAUAAUAAAUUAGGAGUUAUGAGAAUAAACAGAUAUGUAAUUUCGAGCACGGGGUCUCGUGGUUAUUUACAGCUGAAUAUCCUCGGUGUGGGAUUAGCUUAUUUUCUCCUUGGAAAGACGACAUUCGCUCCUUUCAGCUACCUCAAAAUACACGGGAGUCGGUGAUGCUGUCGGUCGCUGGACAAAUGCACCGGGUGUCCGAACUAGGACAGAGCGGCCAGACUCCGUUAUAAGCGAUGAAAAACUGCGAGUAUCAACAAAUAGACCCGCAAGCACUUCCGACGCCCACCCCGACCCCUCCGCCUCAUCAUGGGAAUGACACGGAGAAGAAGAAGGAGCCGAGAAGACCCAGGAGAAAGUGGGAAGUUUUCCCCGGAAAGAAUCGCUUCUACUGCGAUGGACGGAUCAUAGUGGCCCGACAGAGUGGGGUCCUUCCCCUUACCCUGGGUCUCAUCCUCGUCACAAGUGGUUUAUUUUUUAUAUUUGAUUGUCCGUUCCUGGUCAAACACCUGACCAGCUGCAUACCUGUUAUUGGAGGAGUCCUCUUUGUGUUUGUGCUCAUCACCCUGCUCCAGACCAGCUUCACCGACCCCGGCAUCCUGCCCAGAGCAACACCAGAUGAGGCUGCAGACAUUGAGAAACAGAUUGACAACACUGGAAACACCAGCUAUCGACCUCCGCCUCGCACCAAGGAAGUGCUAAUCAAUCAGCAGGUGGUGAAGCUCAAGUACUGCUUCACCUGCAAGAUGUUCCGCCCUCCGCGCACCUCCCACUGCAGCCUGUGUGACAACUGUGUGGAGAGAUUCGACCAUCACUGCCCCUGGGUUGGGAACUGUGUAGGGAAACGUAACUAUCGGUUUUUCUACACCUUCAUCGUGUCGCUCUCCUUCCUGACGGCGUUCAUCUUCGGCUGUGUGACCACACACCUAGCACUGAGAGCUCAGGGCGGGAAGGGCCUAGUGUUUGCGCUUCAGGAGAGUCCGGGGAGUGCAGUGGAGCUGGUGAUAUGUUUCUUUUCAGUUUGGUCCAUUUUGGGCCUCUCAGGCUUCCAUACAUACCUGGUUGCUUCCAAUCUUACCACUAACGAAGACAUUAAAGGCUCCUGGUCAGGGAAGAGUGGAGAAGAUGUUACAAACCCAUACAGUCAUAAAAACAUCUUUAUCAACUGUUGCUCGGUGCUUUGUGCGCCCAUGCCGCCAAGCUUGAUUGACAGACGGGGUUUCCUGCCGGCAGAUGAGUCUGCCCAGACUGGCAGUGCUGACAUCGAGCUGCCCACCCUGGCUGCUAAAAGCGAGAUAAAUGUGUGCACACAGGGAACUAAAGGUCUGCUAGAAUCGGCUGCGCUUUCUCCGCUCCUGUCCACCUCGUGUCCUCAGGGGAAACCUCAGAAUGCUCAUUCCUGCCCAGAAACCAGCCCAGCGUUGAACUCUGACCCCACAUCGGAGUUCUCUAAAGGCUGCAGGGGUAACCAUACGUCCAGCUCCCAUGGCGAUACUUCUCGUCCACGUCACACCAAAGCUCGCUCAAAGAAAUGCAGACGAGAGGCUCUGCAUAUUCCCAACCCUGCAUUUGAUGUCCCAGUUUCCCCUACCUCUCCGGACGCUGCCCCUGACUCCAAAGCCAGGAGCCACAAAGGAGGCAGCCUCACCCCGUUGCACUGACUGACUGUCUUGAAUGAUGUUUUUCACAAGUCAAACACUGUUUGAGGCUUGCAUGCUGUAACACAGUCAGAUCCAAGUUAUAUGAUUUUUUUUGUUUGGUUAUUCCUGUUGGUUCUCUGAAACUCCAGGAGCGUUGAAGAUGUUUGGUCACUGAGUAAGACAAUCACAGGGGAAAUAGGACAAAUGUGAUGAAGAGGAUUCUAGAUGCAACAUAGCGCUGGUGUAGAGAAAAGUUCUAAGAAGGUUUGUGAGCCGUAGAUUCUUCUGUAAAAAAACAAAUUUACCAGCAUGUCAGAUUUCACCAAAUUUGUGAAACAGCGGCUUUAAUGUAUCAGGUGGAUGGAAGCUCUGAAUUGUGUAUAUCUAUAAAGAGAGGAUCCUUGAAGGGAAAAUCCACCCAAAAAUGUUCACAUCUCAAGCUGUACAGGCAGUGAUUAAUGGAACAAGUCGCAGGACUCGUAGACUAAAGCACUGUCCUCAAAACACUUUCAUGUGGAAUCACCCGUUUAGCUCACUGGGUUAAGCAGGCAACCCAUUUGCCUCAAGACAUGUCUUCCCCCUGGUUUUCUCCCAGGCUUCCUGUCUUCUCUUUGCUCUCCUAUUGCAAUAUAAUCCAUAUAAUCUGGUACAGAAUUUAUAUGGAGUAAAUAUUUAGUCACCACAGCCACCACAGGUGGGUAAGGUUUGGCCACCCCUUCUGCCCAGUAAGUGUGAAACGGCAAUGUCUGCAAAUAAGCCUUUACUGCACAGUGGUUGAAAUAUCUAAUUUAUUCAUUUGGAUUGUUGUAGGGCUUUAGGGGUAUGCCUGCUCUGUUCCACCACCUGUCAUUGUCUGUUCUGCUAAUUUAAAUCUCUGAACUGGAUCUCUGGGCUGUGUUUGAGGAGGUGAUUCUUUUUGGAACAUUUUUAAUUAAUUAUUAAUACUCUUAAUAAGCUUUUGUUUCAGUUUUACUAUAGGGAAUUUAUUCUUCUGUUACUUGACACUUUUAAAAACUUUUUUUUUUUUAAGUUUUACAUAAAAAUGCUUGUUAAGCAUGAGUCCUCAUGGCAUACCUUUCUAUGGCAGUCAUGCCUAAAUGAUUAGGAAUGAUUUGGUACAUCUGGUAAGCAAUCAUUUGGUACUACAACAAUCUGUAAAAUGGGGAAACAAGAACUAGAAAUAGUUCUGAGCUCAACCUGCCCACCUCUUUAAAAACUAUCUGGCUCUGUGGCUGCUUCCACUGGGUUUCAGUCUAACAGAACCUGAGGGUACCAAAUGCAGAGAUGGGGAUAUAACUGAACUAUGCACUUGUUUUUCCCCCCCACAUCUAUAAUAAUGCAGGCAAAGAUUUGGUCCACUGACCUUAGUGACAUUGAAUAUUGGAUUAAUCAUUCAAAUCUAUAUGUAAAACACCUAAUUUUUCACUGAAGGUGAUGACUUUGCGUUCUAAAAUAAGCAAAAUGUGAAUGUUGUUGUGUGGAUUUUUCCGAUGACCUUGCACAAACAGCACAGUGGAUAAGAUGUAAAUCAGUUUAGUGGUGUGUACUGUUGUUCAGAUCUUCGUGCUGUAAAAUGGAAUUGAGUGCAACUGCAUGGUCAUGACUAAAAGGUGUAUUUUAUGAUGUUUCUUUAAAUGCAUUCAAACAUUGUACCAUCUCA
RNA transcript from Haplochromis burtoni (Burton's mouthbrooder), 3642 nucleotides. It is a transcript of the gene named palmitoyltransferase ZDHHC18-B, with no coding region annotated. Lineage: Eukaryota; Metazoa; Chordata; Actinopteri; Cichliformes; Cichlidae. The transcript has 10 exons. The record is from RefSeq and is a predicted model, not a curated record.